Molecule: ribosomal RNA, 480 nt
Filed under: uncultured bacterium
Lineage: Bacteria
Description: partial 16S ribosomal RNA
Rfam family: Bacterial small subunit ribosomal RNA
Source: RNAcentral
GACGAACGCUGGCGGCGUGCUUAACACAUGCAAGUCGAACGAUGAAGAAAAGAAUCGAAGCUUCGGCAGAAAUUCAUUUCGGAUUAGUGGCAGACGGGUGAGUAACGCGUGAGCAACCUACCUCUUACAAAGGGAUAGCCUCGGGAAACCGGGAUUAAUACCAUAUAACAUUGUGACGAAGCAUUUCGAUGCAAUCAAAGCUACGGCGGUAAGAGAUGGGCUCGCGUCCCAUUAACCGGAUGGUGAGGUAACGGCUCACCAUAGUGACGAUGGGUAACCGGCCUGAGAGGGUGAACGGUCACACUGGAACUGAGACACGGUCCAGACUCCUACGGGAGGCAGCAGUGGGGAAUAUUGCACAAUGGAGGGAACUCUGAUGCAGCGACGCCGCGUGAGUGAUGAAGGAAUUCGUUUCGUAAAACUCUGUUCUAUGGGAAGAAAAGGACUGUACCAUAGGAAAAAGCUCCGGCUAAAUACGUG